Molecule: ribosomal RNA, 429 nt
Filed under: Acidobacteriota bacterium
Lineage: Bacteria; Pseudomonadati; Acidobacteriota
Description: Acidobacteria bacterium partial 16S ribosomal RNA
Rfam family: Bacterial small subunit ribosomal RNA
Source: RNAcentral
UGGGGAAUUUUGGACAAUGGGGGAAACCCUGAUCCAGCCAUCCCGCGUGUGCGAUGAAGGCCUUCGGGUUGUAAAGCACUUUUGGCAGGAAAGAAACGUCAUGGGUUAAUACCCCGUGAAACUGACGGUACCUGCAGAAUAAGCACCGGCUAACUACGUGCCAGCAGCCGCGGUAAUACGUAGGGUGCAAGCGUUAAUCGGAAUUACUGGGCGUAAAGCGUGCGCAGGCGGUUCGGAAAGAAAUAUGUGAAAUCCCAGGGCUCAACUUUGGAACUGCAUUUUUAACUACCGGGCUAGAGUGUGGCAGAGGGAGGUGGAAUUCCGCGUGUAGCAGUGAAAUGCGUAGAUAUGCGGAGGAAAACCGAUGGGGAAGGCAGACACCUGGGAUAACACUGACGCGCAUGCACGAAAGCGUGGGGAGAAAACAGG